Long non-coding RNA from Mesocricetus auratus (golden hamster), 2395 nucleotides. RefSeq lists it as uncharacterized. The transcript has 5 exons. The record is from RefSeq and is a predicted model, not a curated record. Lineage: Eukaryota; Metazoa; Chordata; Mammalia; Rodentia; Cricetidae.
CAGCAGGAUGGGGACCUGCAAUAAUCGGUCCCAUUAUUACAAAACAACUGUGCUAAGCUAUUCAGUGGAAGGCCUGAACCCUCGUGGGUCUGACCACUGGAAAUAGGUGAGGGUGGCCAGUCCUCUGGCCUUCUAUGUGUUUGGAGAAUCAAAAGGAAAAUUAAGUGUUUCUCCAUCGCACUCAGAAGAACGCCCAGGUCCCUACAUGUGACUCAUUCUGCCACCUGAUCCGCCUCAGCCUGCUCUGCUAAUCUUAGGGGACUGUAUCUCCCUGCCUUCUAGACCUUCAGCUAUUCAGGCCUCUACAUAUAACAGGAGAGAUACUCACUUGCUGAGUCGUGGAUGACUCUGUCUGCAUUCCUAAGACAGAAUGGGUGAAGCCAAAUCUCCUUCCUUGUCUUAUUCCCAGAACAUCAUACAACCCUUGGCAUACAGUAGGAUACAGUAGAUCCUGCUCCACUGACACUGCCUGGCUUGACUGACCUGAAACCUCCCAGCCUGUGUCGCUCUGGCAGUUCCUUCCCACACCCUGUGGGUAGCACCCAAACAAGCCUCUUGGGAUUUAAGGUGGGUCGAUCCAGGAGCUUCACACCCAUUUGUCAGAUGAGGAAGCUGAGACUCAGAGGUGUGCUGUGGAAAUGAUAAGUGGUCCAGAACUUCACACUUGAGGCUGUGGCUGGGAUGCUAUAAUCCAAAGUCUUCAUGGAGCUCUUCCUGAGGAGAUACAUCCUGUCCUCUAAUGUUGGGUCUUCUGGAUUCCAGGUCCUAGUGUUCUCUUGCCUAGUCUUAUUGAGGCCUCAGUGUAUCCAUACUGAAGUGAGUCAAGACCACUCCAGAGGCCUCUGUGUGGCUUCUCCUCAAGUCCUCAUGCCUGAGGACUCAAGGCACCAAGUCCUGUAUAAGUCAGUGGUUCUCAACCUGUGGGUUGAAACCCCUUGGGGGGCCAAACAGUCAUAGGAAUUGCAUCAGAAAUUUAUAUUGCAUAGUAUUAAAAGAUUAUAUAAAAGUGGUAAAAUUAUAGUAAUGAAGUAGUCACAAAAUUAUUUUCUGGUUGGGGGCUACUACAACAUGGGGAAAUGUAUUAAAGGGUCACAGCAUUAGGAAGGUUGAGGACCACUGACUGGUAUAAGUGAACUCUGCUUAUAUUUAGGUCUCAUCAUAAUUUUUUUGGAAGUCCUCCAUAAUUACCCAGGUUGGGAUAGAUCCCUGGCCAUAUAGAGAUGGCUCAAUGGUUGAGAGAAUGUGCUGUUCUUACACAGGAUCUCAGUUAAGUCUCUAGUUCCCAUGUGAGGUGCUCACUUGAGUCACCUGGAACUUCAGGGGGAUUCUGAUAUCUCUGGCCUUUUUAAGCACCAACAUCCACAUGUAUACACCCCCUCUCCCCACAUAUAUGCAUAAACACAUACAAUAAGAUAAAAAACCAUCACUUGGGAGGCAUAGGCAGGCAGGGCUCUGUAUGAGAUCCAGGACAGUCAGGUCUACAUAGCGAGUUUCAGGCUAGCCAGGAAUACAUAGUAUGAUUCUGUCUCAAAAACCAACAAAAAUAAAGGGCCAUGAGAUAUUGAUAAUCAUAGGCCUUUAUGGUCUGACCUAGGUGCAAAACGCAAGACAGAAAGCAUCAUCCUAGGACUGAGGAGAUGGCGCAGCAGGUAGGAGCACCUGCUGUGCAAGCAUGAAGACCUGAGUUCAAAUCCCCAGAACUCAUGUAAAAAACUGAAUGUAGUCACACCUAUAACCCCAGUGCUGUGGAUGAUGGGGGUGGAGGAGUGAGGAUGGUGGCAGAGUCAAGAGGAUUUCUAGGGAUGUGCUGAAUACUAGUGUAACUCCAGAUUUAGUGAGAGACCACGCGUGAAGUAGACAGGAUGGUGGAGUGGUAGAGAGGGUCAUCUGACACACACACACACACACACACACACACACACACACACACACACACUGUGGGAAUCCACAGAAUUGACUCCAUUCAUUUUGACUUACAGUGAGAGGGUUUUUACCUGCCAAUGCUCCUUCAAGGUCAAACUGCAUAAUGUUUGGCCUAAGAUGUGGCUGUUGUGUAUCCUACCUUGACAACAGGAAGUCUGGUCUAAGAUGUGGAUGCAACAGAUGCUUGGCAUAGGAUGUGGUUGCUGCAUGUCCUACCUAAACAAUAGAAUAGUUAACUCCGGAUAUAAUUACUUGGUGUGGCUGUUACAUGUCCUGCCUCAACAACAAAAUACUUAACUCAGGAGAGAGUUACUUGCUGUUUUGGGUAUUGAAAUGGCAAUUACGCUUGCUUGUUCUUUGUAUCUUGGUAAGGAAGUAUUUUUCCUUCUCCCCUUCUUUUGAUGGGGGUGAAAAAGACUGUUAACAAUAAACAUGGGUGGUUUAGUAUUCACUGGAUGCCCUCCCAACUCUA